AUCCAGCUGACGAGUCCCAAAUAGGACGAAACGCGUGUCCUGGAU
This is a non-coding RNA of Schistosoma mansoni, 45 nucleotides long. The record is from Rfam. NCBI's taxonomy places the organism in Eukaryota, Metazoa, Platyhelminthes, Trematoda, Strigeidida, Schistosomatidae.